AGGCUAUGGUGCUGUUUACGAAGGAAAGUUAAAGGACGGCUGUCUUGUAGCAGUGAAGGUCUUGACCAAACUAACAGGAGAUGGAGAAGAAUUUAUGAAUGAAGUGGCAGCCAUUAGUAGAACUUCCCAUGUCAACGUCGUCACCUUGUUAGGCUUUUGUUUUGAGGGUUCCAAAAGAGCUCUCAUCUAUGAAUUCAUGCCUAAUGGAUCCCUAGAGAAAUUCAUAUUUGAUUCAAAUACUCCCAAUAUAGGUCAUGAUCACUUGGGAUGGGAAGCAUUGGAUCAAAUUUCACUUGGCGUUGCUCGAGGUUUGGAGUAUUUACAUCGUGGUUGCAACACAAGAAUUUUGCAUUUCGACAUCAAGCCUCACAACAUUCUUCUCGAUGAAAACUUCACGCCAAAAAUCUCGGAUUUUGGCCUUGCCAAAAUAUGCAACAAGAAAGAGAGUAUUGUCUCGAUGUUGGGCGCUAGAGGUACAGCAGGUUACAUUGCUCCAGAAGUAUUUUCUAGAACUUUGGAAAGGUCUCACACAAGUCGGAUGUGUACAGCUAUGGAAUGAUGCUUUCGAAUAUGGUUGGGGGAAGUAGGAACACAGACGAUGAAGCUGAAAAUACAAGUGAAAUAUAUUUUCCACAUUGGAUUUACCAACGUCUUGAAUUGGACGAAGAGCUUGGUAUGCAGAGUAUUACGAACGAGGAAGAUGAAGCAAGAGCAAGGAAGAUGAUGAUAGUGAGCUUGUGGUGCAUACAAACUGAUCCUUCAAACCGGCCAGCGAUGAAGGAAGUGAUAGAUAUGUUGGAAGGGAGUGUUGAUUCGUUGCAGAUACCUCCCAAACCUUACUUGUCUUCUCCUCCAAAAUCCCCAGCAGAUUCUUCUACAGCAUUGGUAUCAAUGAAGUAGAAACCUUGUAUUUUACUUGAACAAAUCUAUGUUUUUCUGAGGCAAUCUAAAUAAUGAAGCAUGCGUUUCAUGUUUGUUUUGUUUUUGUUUUUAUUUUUUACUCUAUAUAUGAAUCAACACAGUAGGAGUGACCCUAUUACUACCCCUCCUGCAAUCAUCUAUAAAUAAAUAUUAGUAAUGUGAAACAUUUGCAUUUGUGGGUCAGACCAGUUGACCAAGGCAGCGUGCCCGUUUCAUCUCCCUGGUUUAAUCAUAGGCCCAAAAAUUUGAAGCUGGGACGGUUGAACUAAUCUUGGACCGAUUUUGGUUGCUUGGAAGGCCACGAGAGCAAGUUGGGCCACGGGAGUGGGCUGCUCAGCAAGUGGCGCACAUGGGUGCGAGGCUAGGGCUCGACUUGGCAACGUGUUGGGCUCGCGUUGGGUUUGGGCGACUCGGGCCGGUUAGGCUUGGGCCCUUGAAGGUUUAAGUGGCACAACUUGGGCUUGGGCUUGGCCUUGGUGACGUGGGUUUUGCCGAGGGUGGCCACCGUGGUGGUUGCCACACCGGUGCCUCGUAGGGGUGGUGCCACUCCACUCAUCAUUGUGUUGAGCCUUGUAGAUCGACGUGGUCCUAAUUCUUGAACGUUGGAAUUUCCAUUCAUCGAGGUUUCCAAAUCCCUUGCCAUUGUACUUUUCUUCGAAUAAUUUUUAGAAAUAAAAAUUCUAAGAAUAAGAGCAUACAAAAAAUCUACAAAUGAACAAGAAAACAAAAAACCUUGGAUGCGAAAGUCUUCUACUAGUGUGUGACUCAACUCUCAAUGAAAACACCAAUUUGUGGAUGCAAAUUUCUUCAUUCUUGUUCUUAGACGAAAAUGCCCCAGCAAAAACAUUUAACACUUUAGGUUAAGGUCAAAAGCCUCAUGUGCCCACAAUGAAUGGGGGGAGCUUUGGCCAAAGAACAUCCGAUGCCAAAUUUAAAAUUUUGGGGGAAAAGUGUUUAGAGAAUUUGGAGAAUUUUGUAAGGGGAUUCAACUUAGGUUUUUUGAAGAAAUAAGGUGGUAUUUAUAGGGUUGUGGCCGGCCCCUUUUGGAGAGGUGGGAACCGGCCACCUUUGGUGGUUUUUGGGUGUAAUUGAUUAGGAAAUUAAUAUCUUGCAAUCAAUUAGGAAAUUAAUUAGAAAAUUAAUUAAUUAAUUUAGGUAAUUAAUCCUAUUUUGAAUGAAUAUUUGGAGGUUACCUUGUAGGGAGGAUUUGAUGAGGAUGAAUGAAAUAAGUUUUGAAUAAAUACCUAUUUGGAUCACUUUUGACCUUGAUUGAGUGGUAAUUGUCCGUUGCUCACGCAUAUGAGUUCUGAUGUGCCACGAGGGUAAUCUUGUAUUUUUACCAAAAAAUCCACGUGUCGCCUCCAUAUUUUUCUUAAUUAUUUUAGGCUCCACAAUGUCCAAUCCAAUCCUUUCUUAAAUUUAAUAUUGAAGCCCUGUUUGGUAUUUAGGAUAAGAUUGCAUUGAUAAUUCUCUAAUUUCAAGGUAUUAUUAGGGGAGAAAUAAAAAAAUUAUGUCCAACUUGGGUUAGAAGACGGAUUACCAUGAAGAAAACUUAUACAAUGUAGUCAUCUCCAAAAUGAGAGAAUUAGGAGGGAUGAGUUUUUUUUUCAUAUCUAGUAGUUUUCUAUUCCGUUCUCUGUAAAAAAAAAAAAACAAAUUCAUUUAUACUUUCAACUUAUACUUUCAGUAUGCCUUGAUGUUGUAAAAUUAUCCAUUACAAUCCAAUUUUACAUACUAAACAAGCCCGUUUUUCCUAGUAUCUAACAACAUUUUCUACCCGCAUUACUGACCAAGGAAUGAAAAGUACGCAAUUUUUGGUCUUUGCCGUGGAUCCCAGAAAGUAUGCAAUUUUUGGUCUUUGCCCACAUUUUCUACACGCAUUAUUGACCAAGGUUACAUCAUUUCUCUCUCUCUCUCUCUUUAAAAUUACUGUACUGUUAUUCGUUCUCAUUUCUCUCUCUCUCAAAUUUACAAUGAAUCAAAACCUUUGCAUCUUCAUUCUGAUCUUCCUUCUCUCAUCAGAAACCCCAGCAUUUGCAGUGGACUUUUACUACCAAAACUGCAGCGUCCCCACAACUGGUGGCCGCCUAAGCAUCAGCUAUCCGUUCUACAUCCAAGGCAGGCAACAAGACUUCUGCGGCUACCCUGGUUUCCAGCUCGCCUGCCAGGGCGGCGCAGACGACGACGAAGAAGCCUACCCACUUCUCCGGUUGUCUGGAGACGAUUACAUAAUUCACAACAUCAGUUACGAAAGACAGACUCUUGUCGUCUCAAAUGCUCUACUUUCGCACUACUUGGACAACUCUUCCUGCACUAAUCUCUCACUGAUCCAUAAUUUAACGCUCCCUAAUGAACUGUUUGAGCUGGCUCCAAAGCAAGAUCAGUUCUUUCUGCUCCACAACUGCAGCCCUUCGUUUGUCGAUUCUUUUCCAACGUACAAGAUUGGUUGUAGUAACACUUCGGUUCUUGCUCUGCCUCGGCAGAUAUAUCCGAAAUUUGAAGGUCUUGGGGAGGUUGAAAAGUGUGGAUCGAGUGAGGUGCCGGUGGCGCAAGGUGGAGGGUAUGGGAAUGAUGAAGCGGCGGGAAUGAAGGAAGUGUUGGGAAGAGGGUUUGAGAUGAAAUGGCUGGCUGGUGACUGCAGCGGCUGCCAGAGUAGUGGAGGGCUAUGUGGGUUUAACUACACCACCCACCUUUUUAGGUGCCUCUGCCCCAACAGGUCCUUUUCUGUGUUCUGUAGGGGCGAAGAAGGUUAGUCUCUCUCUCUUCACUCUUUUUUUUCUCUCUUUUUUACAUGCAAUAUGAAUUGUUAGAUAAUUACUACGCAGCAUACAUAAUUCAGGCUAGUUCAUUAACACAAUAUGUGGCUUUGUUGUAAGACUAAACUUAUCAUAAAUAUAAGUUAAGAGAUUAAGCUCAUGAACCACAAAUUUAUACAAGUAUUAAAAUCACAAUUCGAUAAACAUAAUGACAAACUAACCCGUAAAAACAGUAGAAGAGAAGCCAAAGCAGACUUCUAAACAGUGCACCUUCUCCUCUCUUACAAAACCAAAAGUACUCAAACUAACAAUAGGUCUUAGUUCAAUAUUGAGCGUGUAUUUUGUGAGAGCAGUGUCUACUAUUUAUAAUAGAUUAAUCCUAAUAAUUCUCCUAUUCGAAACAUCAUAGGAUACCAACUAUGAAUCCAAAUCAUAUCUGAAUUACAAUCCUACAAGAAUUAGGAUAGUUUUAAGCUUUCUAGCAAGAAUUUUCUAUGUCAAUUGAAACACUACAACCGGCUAUAAUAUUUAAUUUCAUACUCAUAUUCUAACAUUUGUUACACUCGAAUUCAAAUUCAUCUCUAUAGAUUAGAGUAGUUCAGAAUAUCGUUUAAUUUCGAAACGAAGAUAAUUUCUGGUAUGGGGAUAAUUGUCCCACUUGCCCAACUCUCCUGUGCAAAAAGUUGAAAAAUCUCAUCCAGUCUAACUCCUACCAUACAUUAGAUUUCAAAGGAAAAAGGGCGGCUGCUGGCUGGAGGGUUGAAUAUAGCCACCUCUAAUCAAAUAUUAACGAAGAAGAUGGUCCGUGAAGUCGAAUCUGAACCUCUACAUCAUCACGAUUUAACGUGAAAAAUAUCCUUCACGAUUAUUUGUGAUAAAACCAUUUGAAACUUAGUCACAUAAUCUUAUUGUUAGCGUGUGUAAUUCUGUAUUAAUCUAGUUGUCCUAACCAAAAUUUUAAAUUUGGUUUUUGAUUAUGAUAUGAGAUAAUGAUCAUUGUGCAGGACCUGGAACUGGAAACUUAGCCGCUAAAGUCUCAAUAGGUAAUUAUAACUUGCUUAGAUUAGUUUUCUAAGUUUAUGUGUUGUAAUAAGGUUUAUAGCAUGUCUGCAAUGGCUACCAUUCGAUCGAAUAAAUCAUCAUAUUCAACGUAUAUUCAUCAGGUGCAGUUGCUGGUCUCAUAUUUCUAAUCGCUAUCAUUUGCUGCUUAAGAAGAAAGUUGUCAUCAUAUAGAUUUCUUUUCUUUUGGAAGAAGCAAAACCAAAAUCGUCAAAUUGUAGAGGCCUUUCUAAGGAGCCACGGGCCGCUUCAAAUACGAAGGUAUAGCUAUUUGGAGGUCAAGAACAUGACCAACUCCUUCAAAGAAAAAUUAGGACAUGGAGGCUAUGGUGCUGUUUACAAAGGAAAGUUAAAGGACGGCUGUCUUGUAGCAGUGAAGGUCCUGAUCAAACUAACAGGAGAUGGAGAAGAGUUUAUGAAUGAAGUGGCAGCUAUUAGUAGAACUUCCCAUGUCAACGUCGUCACCUUGUUAGGCUUUUGUUUUGAGGGUUCCAAAAAGCUCUCAUCUAUGAAUUCAUGCCUAAUGGAUCCCUAGAGAAAUUCAUAUUUGAUUCAAAUACUCCCAAUAUAGGUCAUGAUCACUUGGGAUGGGAAGCAU
This 5334-nucleotide long non-coding RNA is filed under the name Malus domestica (apple). RNAcentral's name for it is "long non-coding RNA (MDOM_LNC011765)". The record is from RNAcentral. Lineage: Eukaryota; Viridiplantae; Streptophyta; Magnoliopsida; Rosales; Rosaceae.